GACGAACGCUGGCGGCAUGCCUAACACAUGCAAGUCGAACGAGACGUCCGGGUUUAGUGUCCUCCGGUUGCGUAAGGGGUGGGAACAUGACCUUAGGUUGGGAAUAACUCCCGGAAAGGGGUGCGAAUAUGGGACAAUGUCUGGGGACGAAGGAUUUAUGGACGGUGGGUGUUCCCGAGUUGGAUUGGAUCGUUGGUAGGGUAAACGCAUACCGCGGGGUCGAUCCAUAGCUGGUUAGCGAGGAUCCUCAGCCACACUGGGAGUGAGACACGGCCCAGACUCCUACGGGAGGCGGCAAUGGUGGAUAUUGGACAGUGGGCGAAAUCCUGAUCCAGCAAUGCCGCGAGAAUGAUGUAGGCCUUGGAGUUGUAAAGCUCUAUUACCCGUGAUGAUAAUGACGUUACCGGGAGAAUAAGCUCCGGCUAACUCCGUG
Molecule: ribosomal RNA, 433 nt
Filed under: uncultured bacterium
Lineage: Bacteria
Description: partial 16S ribosomal RNA
Rfam family: Bacterial small subunit ribosomal RNA
Source: RNAcentral